GACGAACGCUGGCGGCGUGCUUAACACAUGCAAGUCGAACGGUGAAGCUCCAGCUUGCUGGAGUGGAUCAGUGGCGAACGGGUGAGUAACACGUGAGCAACCUGCCCCUGACUCUGGAAUAAGCGCUGGAAACGGCGGCUAAUACUGGAUACGAGAAGGGUCCGCAUGGGCACUUUCUGGAAAGUUUUUCGGUUGGGGAUGGGCUCGCGGCCUAUCAGCUUGUUGGUGAGGUAAUGGCUCACCAAGGCGACGACGGGUAGCCCGCCUGAGAGGGCGACCGGCCACACUGGGACUGAGACACGGCCCAGACUCCUACGGGAGGCAGCAGUGGGGAAUAUUGCACAAUGGGCGAAAGCCUGAUGCAGCGACGCCGCGUGAGGGAUGACGGCCUUCGGGUUGUAAACCUCUUUCAGCAGGGAAGAAGCGAAAGUGACGGUACCUGCAGAAGAAGCACCGGCUAACUACGUG
This 468-nucleotide ribosomal RNA is filed under the name uncultured bacterium. Its description in RNAcentral is "partial 16S ribosomal RNA". It matches the Rfam family "Bacterial small subunit ribosomal RNA", at positions 28 to 507 of the family's 1533-position model. The record is from RNAcentral.